CUUUUCUCAGUAAGGAUAAGACAGCACUAAGACACAACACCUCACCUUCCUAGUCCUACACCUGUGAGCUAAUAAACCCUCUGAGCUGUAAACCCCUUCAUUAGAAGUGUCCAGUGGGAUCAAUGAGAGGAGCUCCUGAGCUAUGAGUCAUCUCGUGUAUCUUUUCAGUCCUGAGAGAGCAAACCAUGCCCUUUGUACAGACAGCAUGUUUGGACUUGGCUUGGGAAGAAUGUGAGUUGCAGUCUCUAGCACACAGUGCAGAUUGCAGGUGAGCAUCUGAGGCAGCAGACGGCUCUGUGAACACAGUCAUUUUGACCAAAACAUGUGUUUGAGCACUUUAAUACAUUGGCGGGAAUGAGAUUAUAAAUAUGAGAGACUGUGGGGUAUGCCCAGCCCCCACCCUGGAGGGAUGUCUGCUGAGAUAAGGAGAGUGCCUAAACCUCCCAGCAGAGCUCCCCUGGAAAGGCAGCCACUCUGCAGUUAUGGCAAGAAGAAGACAAACCCAGAAUCCUCUGGGGGACUCUAUGCAGAUCCUUUGUAACCCAUUGGCCCUUACCCUCUGG
This is a long non-coding RNA of Corvus hawaiiensis (hawaiian crow), 563 nucleotides long. RefSeq lists it as uncharacterized. NCBI's taxonomy places the organism in Eukaryota, Metazoa, Chordata, Aves, Passeriformes, Corvidae. The record is from RefSeq and is a predicted model, not a curated record. The transcript has 3 exons.